UUACCACUUUGUGAUUCAUGACUGGGGUGAAGUCGUAACAAGGUAACCGUAGGGGAACCUGCGGUUGGAUCACCUCCUUACCUGAAAGAAGC
RNAcentral lists this ribosomal RNA (92 nucleotides) under Salmonella enterica subsp. enterica serovar Gallinarum. RNAcentral describes it as "partial 16S ribosomal RNA". The stretch from base 1 to 80 matches the Rfam family "Bacterial small subunit ribosomal RNA", at positions 1454 to 1533 of the family's 1533-position model. The record is from RNAcentral. Lineage: Bacteria; Pseudomonadati; Pseudomonadota; Gammaproteobacteria; Enterobacterales; Enterobacteriaceae.